ACACCGGCAGCUCAAGUGGUGGCCUAUUUUUAUUGGGCCCCUAAAGCGUUCGUAGCCGGCUUGAUAAGUCUCUGGUGAAAUCCCAUAGCUUAACUGUGGGAAUUGCUGGAGAUACUAUUAGGCUUGAGGCCGGGAGAGGUUAGGGGUACUCCCAGGGUAGGGGUGAAAUCCUAUAAUCCUGGGAGGACCACCUGUGGCGAAGGCGCCUAACUGGAACGGACCUGACGGUGAGUAACGAAAGCCAGGGGCGC
RNAcentral lists this ribosomal RNA (251 nucleotides) under uncultured bacterium. RNAcentral describes it as "partial 16S ribosomal RNA". It matches the Rfam family "Archaeal small subunit ribosomal RNA", at positions 473 to 720 of the family's 1478-position model. The record is from RNAcentral.